GAUGAACGCUGGCGGCGUGCCUAAUACAUGCAAGUCGAGCGAACAGACGAGGAGCUUGCUCCUCUGACGUUAGCGGCGGACGGGUGAGUAACACGUGGAUAACCUACCUAUAAGACUGGGAUAACUUCGGGAAACCGGAGCUAAUACCGGAUAAUAUAUUGAACCGCAUGGUUCAAUAGUGAAAGACGGUUUUGCUGUCACUUAUAGAUGGAUCCGCGCCGCAUUAGCUAGUUGGUAAGGUAACGGCUUACCAAGGCAACGAUGCGUAGCUGACCUGAGAGGGUGAUCGGCCACAAUGGAACCGAGACACGGUCCAGACUCCUACGGGAGGCAGCAGUAGGGAAUCUUCCGCAAAGGGCGAAAGCCUGACGGAGCAACGCCGCGUGAGUGAUGAAGGUCUUCGGAUCGUAAAACUCUGUUAUUAGGGAAGAACAAAUGUGUAAGUAACUAUGCACGUCUUGACGGUACCUAAUCAGAAAGCCACGGCUAACUACGUG
This 497-nucleotide ribosomal RNA is filed under the name uncultured bacterium. Its description in RNAcentral is "partial 16S ribosomal RNA". It matches the Rfam family "Bacterial small subunit ribosomal RNA", at positions 28 to 507 of the family's 1533-position model. The record is from RNAcentral.